Cavia porcellus (domestic guinea pig) is the source of this 590-nucleotide long non-coding RNA. RefSeq lists it as uncharacterized. NCBI's taxonomy places the organism in Eukaryota, Metazoa, Chordata, Mammalia, Rodentia, Caviidae. The record is from RefSeq and is a predicted model, not a curated record. The transcript is spliced from 2 exons.
UAGAAGCAGAGAACAGUAAUGCAACAGAUAACACCAAACUAGAAUGGAAUGAGCCAAAGGGGAGCCUCUGUCAUGGUUUAUGUCUGUGGCCCCCAGGCCUCAUGAGUUUAAAUUGUGCAUUUGUUAUUCGUUCAUUGUCUCGUGCUUGGAUUGAUGGUGUCAGUGCUCCACCCACGAAGGGGUGGAGCCAGGAUGUGAUGUAAUGGCAGGAAGAAGGUGUGUCUUGCUCUUUGCUGGUUUCUGAUUGCUGUUUGCAGCCGCCACGUUUGAGCCCAGCCAUGUCCGCCUGCCUUGGAGCCAACUGAGUGUGGACUGAAACCUCCGAAAACUGUUGUUUACUUUGAGGUUGAAUCGACCAUGCUGUGAAGAAGUCCAAGCACUGAUCAACAGGCCCAUGCUGGAAGAGAAUCAAGACCCGCAACCUGUGGCUUAGAUUGAGGUCCUGGUUUCAAACUGGUGAUAAUUCUCCUGCCAUGUGUGUGAGCCUCCUGGGUGGCUUGUCUCACGUGAUGGCUCCAUGGGGCAGAGAAUAGUCAUUUCUGCCAGGCCCUGGUCAAACUGCAGAUAUAUCAAUAAAAUGAAUAAAUGAG